RNAcentral lists this ribosomal RNA (467 nucleotides) under uncultured bacterium. RNAcentral's name for it is "partial 16S ribosomal RNA". It matches the Rfam family "Bacterial small subunit ribosomal RNA", at positions 28 to 506 of the family's 1533-position model. The record is from RNAcentral.
GACGAACGCUGGCGGCAUGCUUAACACAUGCAAGUCGAACGGAAAGGCCCUGCUUUUGUGGGGUGCUCGAGUGGCGAACGGGUGAGUAACACGUGAGUAACCUGCCCUUGACUUUGGGAUAACUUCAGGAAACUGGGGCUAAUACCGGAUAGGAGCUCCUGCUGCAUGGUGGGGGUUGGAAAGUUUCGGCGGUUGGGGAUGGACGCGCGGCUUAUCAGCUUGCUGGUGGGGUAGUGGCUUACCAAGGCUUUGAAGGGUAGCCGGCCUGAGAGGGUGACCGGCCACAUUGGGACUGAGAUACGGCCCAGACGGCUACGGGAGGCAGCAGUGGGGAAUAUUGCACAAUGGGCGGAAGCCGGAUGCAGCAACGCCGCGUGCGGGAUGACGGCUUUCGGGUUGGAAACCGCUUUCGCCUGUGACGAAGCGUGAGUGAGGGUAAUGGGUAAAGAAGCACCGGCUAACUACGU